This 56-nucleotide transfer RNA is filed under the name Camelus ferus (Wild Bactrian camel). The record is from Rfam by way of RNAcentral. Lineage: Eukaryota; Metazoa; Chordata; Mammalia; Artiodactyla; Camelidae.
GAGGGUAUAGCUCAGUUGUAGAGUGCAUGCUUAGGAUGCAUGAGGUCCUACACUCA